RNAcentral lists this ribosomal RNA (301 nucleotides) under uncultured bacterium. RNAcentral's name for it is "partial 16S ribosomal RNA". It matches the Rfam family "Bacterial small subunit ribosomal RNA", at positions 509 to 807 of the family's 1533-position model. The record is from RNAcentral.
CAGCAGCCGCGGUAAUGCGGAGGGGGCUAGCGUUGUUCGGAAUUACUGGGCGUAAAGCGCACGCAGGCGGCUUGGUAAGUUAGAGGUGAAAGCCCGGAGCUCAACUCCGGAAUUGCCUUUAAGACUGCCGAGCUAGUAGGUGAGAGAGGUAAGUGGAAUUCCGAGUGUAGAGGUGAAAUUCGUAGAUAUUCGGAAGAACACCAGUGGCGAAGGCGGCUUACUGGCUCAUUCUAGACGCUGAGGUGCGAAAGCGUGGGGAGCAAACAGGAUUAGAGACCCGCGUAGUCCCUGUCUCUUAUAC